Gossypium hirsutum (cotton) is the source of this 145-nucleotide non-coding RNA. NCBI's taxonomy places the organism in Eukaryota, Viridiplantae, Streptophyta, Magnoliopsida, Malvales, Malvaceae. The record is from Rfam.
UGUUAAAAAAUUCAUCCAUUUGUGCUAUUAAAAAUUGGCAAAAUUAAAGGAAUAACCAGAUAGUAACACAUGGUGCAUCACGUGUACUUUAUGCUAAUGUAUACAGACCGGUAUUUGACAGUAAAAAUGGAUGAAAUUUUUAACA